RNAcentral lists this ribosomal RNA (253 nucleotides) under uncultured bacterium. RNAcentral describes it as "partial 16S ribosomal RNA". It matches the Rfam family "Bacterial small subunit ribosomal RNA", at positions 524 to 776 of the family's 1533-position model. The record is from RNAcentral.
UACGUAGGUGACCAGCGUUGUCCGGAUUUACUGGGCGUAAAGAGCGCGCAGGCGGUCGUUCAAGUCGAGUGUGAAAGCCCCCGGCUCAACUGGGGAGGGUCAUUCGAUACUGAUCGACUCGAAGGCAGGAGAGGGAAGCGGAAUUCCCGGUGUAGUGGUGAAAUGCGUAGAUAUUGGGAGGAACACCAGUGGCGAAGGCGGCUCACUGGACCGGUUCUGACGCUGAGGCGCGAAAGCGUGGGGAGCAAACGGG